Molecule: long non-coding RNA, 669 nt
Organism: Neogale vison (American mink)
Lineage: Eukaryota; Metazoa; Chordata; Mammalia; Carnivora; Mustelidae
Exons: 3
Source: RefSeq, a predicted model, not a curated record
AGGAUAUAUGAGGUACAGAAAGGUGAAAGAAGGAAGAGAAUGGAAAAAAAUAAGAGGAGUUCAGGAUAAAUGCUUCCAGGAAAACAGAGACUAUGUUGCCAGCUGCAGUGGGAUGGAGAAUCUAUGGAGACUUAAACCUUAUCAUGGCUAACUUGACCCUUAGGGAAGAGAGGUCAGGGGAUUUAAGCUACUUGGUCACUCCAGUCUUUGAAUUCAACGAAGCUUGAACUGUGAUUGGAUCAGAACUCAGAAGAAUCCCGAUGUUCCAGGAAACAUUUCAAGAACAGUCAGAAGACCCUUGGAAAAUUCCUCUUCUGGAGCUUUUAUAAGUCUGGAUACAAAAUGUUUCAAUGGCAUGAUUGAGUAAGGCUUCGGGUAAAAUAAAGAGAGACCAAUGAAAUGAGAACAGCAACAGCUAUUUAAUUACAGUUUGCUAUAUAAGUAAGGAAGUCAGCCACCCCUGCUUACGUUCUGGUAGAGACUCAAAAGCAGGCAAAGGAGUUGGAAAUUUUAUAGUGGAAAAAAAGGGGAGGCACCCAGUAGCUCAGUCAGGUAAGCACCCGACUCCUGAUUUCCAUACAGGUCACAAUCUCAGGGUUGUGGGUUAGAGCCCCAAGGUCCGUGUCAGCCUCCACACUCAGUGUAGAAUCUACUUGUCCCUCUCUCUGC